This 311-nucleotide long non-coding RNA is filed under the name Androctonus crassicauda. Lineage: Eukaryota; Metazoa; Arthropoda; Arachnida; Scorpiones; Buthidae. The record is from RNAcentral.
GCAGCUGUCAUAUUUUGGAUAUGUAAUGCAUGCAGAGCAUGGACUGGAAAAGACGAUUAUGCUUGGAAAGGUCGAGAGAGACAGGAGAAGAGGACGACAACAAACAAGAUGGAUAGAUAGGAUCAAGACAACUACUGGAAAGACUUUGAGAGAACUGUGCGAUUUGACCAAAAACAGGUCUGAAUGGCGAGCAUUUGUUCACACAGUCACCAGAAGUCGAACUCGACUUGAUGGCACUUAAGAACAACAAAAUAUUUUAAAUAAUAAUUUAGAUUUAACAACAAAUUUUUAUUAAUAGAUUAUUAGAUUUU